AACGAACGCUGGCGGCAUGCCUAACACAUGCAAGUCGAACGAGACCUUCGGGUCUAGUGGCGCACGGGUGCGUAACGCGUGGGAACCUGCCCUUAGGGUCGGAAUAACUCCCCGAAAGGGGUGCUAAUACCGGAUAAUGUCUUCGGACCAAAGAUUUAUCGCCUUUGUAUGGGCCCGCGUUGGAUUAGCUAGUUGGUAGGGUAAAAGCCUACCAAGGCGACGAUCCAUAGCUGGUCUGAGAGGAUGAUCAGCCACACUGAGACUGAGAAACGGCCCAGACUCCUACGGGAAGCAGCAGUGGGGAAUAUUGGACAAUGGGCGAAGUCCUGAUCCAGCAAUGCCGGGUGAGUGAUGAAGGCCUUAGGGUUGUAAAGCUCUUUUACCCGGGAUGAUAAUGACAGUACCGAGAGAAUAAGCUCCGGCUAACUCCGUG
This 433-nucleotide ribosomal RNA is filed under the name uncultured bacterium. RNAcentral's name for it is "partial 16S ribosomal RNA". It matches the Rfam family "Bacterial small subunit ribosomal RNA", at positions 29 to 507 of the family's 1533-position model. The record is from RNAcentral.